UAGAGUGAAGCUCGCUGGAUUGAGUAUUUAGCUGUUAACUAAGUUAUUGCGGGAUCGAGGCCUGCCAUUCUAG
This 73-nucleotide transfer RNA is filed under the name Odorrana grahami (Yunnanfu frog). Its description in RNAcentral is "tRNA-Asn". Lineage: Eukaryota; Metazoa; Chordata; Amphibia; Anura; Ranidae. The record is from RNAcentral.